This 800-nucleotide ribosomal RNA is filed under the name uncultured archaeon. Its description in RNAcentral is "bacterial SSU rRNA". It matches the Rfam family "Archaeal small subunit ribosomal RNA", at positions 21 to 822 of the family's 1478-position model. The record is from RNAcentral.
GGUUACUGCUAUCGGUGUUCGCCUAGGCCAUGCGAGUCAUAUGUUCGUAAGAACAUGGCGUACUGCUCAGUAACACGUGGAUAACCUGCCCUUGGGUCCGGCAUAACCCCGGGAAACUGGGGAUAAUUCCGGAUAACGCACAUAUACUGGAAUGCUUUAUGCGUAAAAUGGAUUCGUCUGCCCAAGGAUGGGUCUGCGGCCUAUCAGGUAGUAGUGGGUGUAAUGUACCUACUAGCCUACGACGGGUACGGGUUGUGAGAGCAAGAGCCCGGAGCUGGAUUCUGAGACAUGAAUCCAGGCCCUACGGGGCGCAGCAGGCGCGAAAACUUUACAAUGCGGGAAACCGUGAUAAGGGGACACCGAGUGCCAGCAUCCUAUGCUGGCUGUCCGGGUGUGUAAAAUACACCUGUUAGCAAGGGCCGGGCAAGACCGGUGCCAGCCGCCGCGGUAACACCGGCGGCCCGAGUGGUGAUCGUGAUUAUUGGGUCUAAAGGGUCCGUAGCCGGUUUGGUCAGUCCUCCGGGAAAUCUGACAGCUUAACUGUUAGGCUUUCGGAGGAUACUGCCAGACUUGGAACCGGGAGAGGUAAGAGGUACUACAGGGGUAGGAGUGAAAUCUUGUAAUCCCUGUGGGACCACCUGUGGCGAAGGCGUCUUACCAGAACGGGUUCGACGGUGAGGGACGAAAGCUGGGGGCACGAACCGGAUUAGAUACCCGGGUAGUUCCAGCCGUAAACGAUGCUCGCUAGGUGUCAGGCAUGGCGCGACCGUGUCUGGUGCCGCAGGGAAGCCGUGAAGCGU